CAGUCGCCGCGGGAAUACGAAGGGGGCUAGCGUUGUUCGGAAUUACUGGGCGUAAAGCGUGCGCAGGCGGUUAUAUAAGACAGAUGUGAAAUCCCCGGGCUCAACCUGGGAACUGCAUUUGUGACUGUAUAGCUAGAGUACGGCAGAGGGGGAUGGAAUUCCGCGUGUAGCAGUGAAAUGCGUAGAUAUGCGGAGGAACACCGAUGGCGAAGGCAAUCCCCUGGGCCUGUACUGACGCUCAUGCACGAAAGCGUGGGGAGCAAACAGGAUUAGAUACCCCAGUAGUCCCUGUCUCUUAUAC
RNAcentral lists this ribosomal RNA (301 nucleotides) under uncultured bacterium. RNAcentral's name for it is "partial 16S ribosomal RNA". It matches the Rfam family "Bacterial small subunit ribosomal RNA", at positions 509 to 807 of the family's 1533-position model. The record is from RNAcentral.